AACGAACGCUGGCGGCGUGCCUAACACAUGCAAGUCGUGCGAGAAAGUUCCUUCGGGAGCGAGUAAAAGCGGUGCACGGGUGAGUAACACGUAGGUAACCUGCCCCCCAGUCUGGAACAACUAGAGGAAAACUCUAGCUAAUGCCGGAUGAGACCACGAUCCCUUCGGGGGUUGCGGCCCAAAAGAUGGCCUCUACUUGUAAGCUAUCGCUGAGGGAUGGGCCUGCGGGCCAUUAGCUUGUUGGUGAGGUAACGGCUCACCAAGGCUGUGAUGGCUAGCUGGUCUGAGAGGAUGACCAGCCACACUGGGACUGAGACACGGCCCAGACUCCUACGGGAGGCAGCAGUGGGAAUAUUGGACAAUGGGCGAAAGCUGAUCCAGCAAUGCCGCGUGUGUGAAGAAGG
This 404-nucleotide ribosomal RNA is filed under the name uncultured bacterium. Its description in RNAcentral is "bacterial SSU rRNA". It matches the Rfam family "Bacterial small subunit ribosomal RNA", at positions 29 to 414 of the family's 1533-position model. The record is from RNAcentral.